RNAcentral lists this ribosomal RNA (253 nucleotides) under uncultured bacterium. RNAcentral describes it as "partial 16S ribosomal RNA". It matches the Rfam family "Bacterial small subunit ribosomal RNA", at positions 524 to 776 of the family's 1533-position model. The record is from RNAcentral.
UACGUAGGGCGCAAGCGUUGUCCGGAAUUAUUGGGCGUAAAGAGCUCGUAGGCGGCUUGUCACGUCGGGCGUGAAAGCCCGGGGCUUAACCCCGGGUCUGCAUUCGAUACGGGCAGGCUAGAGUGUGGUAGGGGAGAUCGGAAUUCCUGGUGUAGCGGUGAAAUGCGCAGAUAUCAGGAGGAACACCGGUGGCGAAGGCGGAGCUCGGGGCCAUGACUGACGCUGAGGAGCGAAAGCGUGGGGAGCGAACAGG